GUAUCAUGGCUCAGGACGAACGCUGGCGGCGUGCCUAACACAUGCAAGUCGAGCGGAGACAGUGAGUAGCUUGCUAUGAGCUGUUUUAGCGGCGGACGGGUGAGUAACGCGUGAGCAACCUUUCCCAGACAGGGGAAUAACACACCCGAAAGGUGUACUAAUACCGCAUAAGACCACGGGAUCACAUGGUUCUGGGGUAAAAGAAUUAUCGGUUUGGGGUGGGCUCGCGUCCGAUUAGGUAGUUGGUGAGGUAACGG
Molecule: ribosomal RNA, 257 nt
Filed under: uncultured bacterium
Lineage: Bacteria
Description: partial 16S ribosomal RNA
Rfam family: Bacterial small subunit ribosomal RNA
Source: RNAcentral